Molecule: non-coding RNA, 85 nt
Organism: Xylariaceae sp. FL0804
Lineage: Eukaryota; Fungi; Ascomycota; Sordariomycetes; Xylariales; Xylariaceae
Source: the annotation of a GenBank genome assembly
GGUUGUGUAGUGUAGCGGUUAUCACUUUGGAUUUUGAUUAGCCGUCUGAAUUCCAAUAACCCGAGUUCGAAUCUCGGCACGACCU